GCCGGGGUGGCUUAGCUGGAGGAGCGCCGGACUCAUAAGAAUGGAAUGUUCUGAGAAAUCCGGAGGUCUCGGGUUCGAACCCCGAUCCCGGCA
This 93-nucleotide transfer RNA is filed under the name Thermoplasmatales archaeon A-plasma. It matches the Rfam family "tRNA". From Rfam's summary of the family: Transfer RNA (tRNA) molecules are approximately 80 nucleotides in length. The record is from Rfam by way of RNAcentral. Lineage: Archaea; Methanobacteriati; Thermoplasmatota; Thermoplasmata; Thermoplasmatales.